Molecule: ribosomal RNA, 253 nt
Filed under: uncultured bacterium
Lineage: Bacteria
Description: partial 16S ribosomal RNA
Rfam family: Bacterial small subunit ribosomal RNA
Source: RNAcentral
UACGGUGGGGGCAAGCGUUGUUCGGAAUUACUGGGCGUAAAGGGCUCGUAGGUGGCCAACUAAGUCAUACGUGAAAUCCCUCGGCUUAACCGGGGAACUGCGUCUGAUACUGGAUGGCUUGAGGUUGGGAGAGGGAUGCGGAAUUCCAGGUGUAGCGGUGAAAUGCGUAGAUAUCUGGAGGAACACCGGUGGCGAAGGCGGCAUCCUGGACCAAUUCUGACACUGAGGAGCGAAAGCCAGGGGAGCAAACGGG